RNAcentral lists this long non-coding RNA (476 nucleotides) under Mytilus galloprovincialis (Mediterranean mussel). Lineage: Eukaryota; Metazoa; Mollusca; Bivalvia; Mytilida; Mytilidae. The record is from RNAcentral.
CAAUCAUGAGCUUGUCUGAUAUGGGUCUGACCCUCUCAGUUCUAAAGACUGCUUAAUGAAGACUCCAAUAUGACAAACAAGUUCAGGGAUGGGGUUUAGAAUGUGUUUUAGUUUGUUAAAUGUAUCAAGAUGUUGAAAUAAUGGUACAUAUUCUUUUAGAUAAGCAAAAAGAUUAGAACGCAAUGAUAUGUUAAUGUCAUCAUACAAAAAGAAAUGAAAUUCGUCAUCUAGGACUCCACAUUUUUUACAUAAUCUUUGUGCUCUUGGAAUGUUUCUGUACCUUCCCAAUUCAAUGCCUAGAGAAUGAUCACUCAGUCUAAAUUUUGAGAGUAACUGUCUAUGUAUAAAAUUAUUGCAGUUUAAAUAUUCCUCAGACUAACAAUUAGUUUUUAACUUCCCAUAAAGACAAAGUUUGGAUGAGGAAUCCAAUUUUGAAAGUUUAUUUAAAGUAGUGUUUUCAUAUUCCUCUGAAACAC